AGGCAUCUUCAUCAACAUCUUCAUCAGCACCAUCUCCUCUCCAAUCCCUAGUUCAUCUCUUGUAACCAAUCUUCGUCUCGCUACUCCGAUUGGUACUUGUAAGGUUGCUAGUAGUGUUGAUUACUCUUUGUAGUUGAUACUAGUUGGAUAACUUGGUGGAAGAGUUUAUGUUCAGAUCCUUGAUGCUAUUCACUACACCUCUGAUCAUGAUUAUGAUUAUGCUUUGUGAGUAGUUACUUUUGUUCCUGAGGAUAUGGGAUAAGUCAUG
Molecule: long non-coding RNA, 268 nt
Filed under: Hordeum vulgare
Lineage: Eukaryota; Viridiplantae; Streptophyta; Magnoliopsida; Poales; Poaceae
Description: long non-coding RNA (HVUL_LNC008397)
Source: RNAcentral